GAGUUUGAUCUUGGCUCAGAUUGAACGCUGGCGGCAUGCCUUACACAUGCAAGUCGAACGGUAACGCGGGGCAACCUGGCGACGAGUGGCGAACGGGUGAGUAAUGCAUCGGAACGUGCCUGGUAGUGGGGGAUAACUGCUCGAAAGAGCAGCUAAUACCGCAUACGACCUGAGGGUGAAAGGGGGGGAUCGCAAGACCUCUCGCUAUCAGAGCGGCCGAUGUCGGAUUAGCUAGUUGGUGGGGUAAAGGCCCACCAAGGCAACGAUCCGUAGCUGGUCUGAGAGGACGACCAGCCACACUGGGACUGAGACACGGCCCAGACUCCUACGGGAGGCAGCAGUGGGGAAUUUUGGACAAUGGACGCAAGUCUGAUCCAGCCAUGCCGCGUGCGGGAAGAAGGCC
RNAcentral lists this ribosomal RNA (403 nucleotides) under uncultured beta proteobacterium. Its description in RNAcentral is "bacterial SSU rRNA". It matches the Rfam family "Bacterial small subunit ribosomal RNA", at positions 9 to 416 of the family's 1533-position model. The record is from RNAcentral. Lineage: Bacteria; Pseudomonadati; Pseudomonadota; Betaproteobacteria.